This 91-nucleotide ribosomal RNA is filed under the name uncultured bacterium. RNAcentral describes it as "partial 16S ribosomal RNA". The record is from RNAcentral.
CCCGCCGUCACACNUGGAGUCAGUUGCUCCAGAAGUCGGCGUGCCAACCGCAAGGAGGCAGCCGCCCAAGGAGUGACUGGUGACUGGGGUG